AUUGAACGCUGGCGGCAUGCCUUACACAUGCAAGUCGAACGGUAACAGGUCUUCGGAUGCUGACGAGUGGCGAACGGGUGAGUAAUACAUCGGAACGUGCCUAGUAGUGGGGGAUAACUACUCGAAAGAGUGGCUAAUACCGCAUGAGAUCUACGGAUGAAAGCAGGGGAUCGCAAGACCUUGUGCUACUAGAGCGGCCGAUGGCAGAUUAGGUAGUUGGUGGGAUAAAAGCUUACCAAGCCGACGAUCUGUAGCUGGUCUGAGAGGACGAUCAGCCACACUGGGACUGAGAAACGGCCCAGACUCCUACGGGAGGCAGCAGUGGGGAAUUUUGGACAAUGGGCGCAAGCCUGAUCCAGCAAUGCCGCGUGCAGGAUGAAGGCCUUCGGGUUGUAAACUGCUUUUGUACGGAACGAAAAGCCCCGGGUUAAUACCCUGGGGUCAUGACGGUACCGUAAGAAUAAGCACCGGGUAACUACUUGCCAGCCGCCGCCGUAA
RNAcentral lists this ribosomal RNA (498 nucleotides) under uncultured bacterium. Its description in RNAcentral is "partial 16S ribosomal RNA". It matches the Rfam family "Bacterial small subunit ribosomal RNA", at positions 30 to 523 of the family's 1533-position model. The record is from RNAcentral.